Molecule: ribosomal RNA, 400 nt
Filed under: uncultured bacterium
Lineage: Bacteria
Description: bacterial SSU rRNA
Rfam family: Bacterial small subunit ribosomal RNA
Source: RNAcentral
UAGGGAAUCUUCCGCAAUGGACGAAAGUCUGACGGAGCGACGCCGCGUGAGUGAUGAAGGUCUUCGGAUCGUAAAGCUCUGUUGUUAGGGAAGAACAAGUACCGUUCUAAUCGUUCGGUACCUUGACGGUACCUAACCAGAAAGCCCCGGCUAACUACGUGCCAGCAGCCGCGGUAAUACGUAGGGGGCAAGCGUUGUCCGGAAUUAUUGGGCGUAAAGCGCACGCAGGCGGUCCUUUAAGUCUGAUGUGAAAGUUCACGGCUUAACCGUGAAAGGUCAUUGGAAACUGGAGGGCUUGAGUACAGAAGAGGAGAGUGGAAUUCCAUGUGUAGUGGUGAAAUACGUAGAGAUAUGGAGGAACACCAGUGGCGAAGGCGGCUCUCUGGUCUGUUACUGACGC